GACGAACGCUGGCGGCGUGCCUAACACAUGCAAGUCAACUUGACUGAAGGAGCAAUCUGACAGUAGAGUGGCGCAAGGGUGCGUAACGCGUAAGUAACUUGCCCCAAGGUAAGGAAUAACGUCGAGAAAUCGGCGCUAAUACCUCAUAAUGCAGCGGAUCCACAUGGAUAUGUUGUUAAAGGUUUACCGCCUUGGGAUAGGCUUGCGUCUGAUUAGCUAGUUGGUGUGGUAACGGCACACCAAGGCUACGAUCAGUAACUGGUCUGAGAGGAUGAUCAGUCACACUGGAACUGAGACACGGUCCAGACUCCUACGGGAGGCAGCAGUGAGGAAUAUUGGGCAAUGCUCGAAAGAGUGACCCAGCAACGCCGCGUGGAGGAUGAAGGUAUUCUAUAUCGUAAACUCCUGUGAGAGCAGACGAAAGACAGAUUAUUAAUCUGGAUGACUGUAUGCUCAGAGGAAGCCCCGGCUAACU
This 475-nucleotide ribosomal RNA is filed under the name uncultured bacterium. RNAcentral's name for it is "bacterial SSU rRNA". It matches the Rfam family "Bacterial small subunit ribosomal RNA", at positions 28 to 502 of the family's 1533-position model. The record is from RNAcentral.